RNAcentral lists this ribosomal RNA (497 nucleotides) under uncultured bacterium. RNAcentral describes it as "partial 16S ribosomal RNA". It matches the Rfam family "Bacterial small subunit ribosomal RNA", at positions 28 to 507 of the family's 1533-position model. The record is from RNAcentral.
GAUGAACGCUGGCGGCGUGCCUAAUACAUGCAAGUCGAGCGAACGGACGAGGAGCUUGCUUCUCUGAUGUUAGCGGCGGACGGGUGAGUAACACGUGGAUAACCUACCUAUAAGACUGGGAUAACUUCGGGAAACCGGAGCUAAUACCGGAUGAUAUUUUGAACCGCAUGGUUCAAAAGUGAAAGACGGUCUUGCUGUCACUUAUAGAUGGAUCCGCGCUGCAUUAGCUAGUUGGUAAGGUAACGGCUUACCAAGGCAACGAUGCAUAGCCGACCUGAGAGGGUGAUCGGCCACACUGGAACUGAGACACGGUCCAGACUCCUACGGGAGGCAGCAGUAGGGAAUCUUCCGCAAUGGGCGAAAGCCUGACGGAGCAACGCCGCGUGAGUGAUGAAUGUCUUCGGAUCGUAAAACUCUGUUAUUAGGGAAGAACAUAUGUGUAAGUAACUGUGCACAUCUUGACGGUACCUAAUCAGAAAGCCACGGCUAACUACGUG